AGGAAUCUGCCUGGUAGUGGGGGAUAACGCUCGGAAACGGACGCUAAUACCGCAUACGUCCUACGGGAGAAAGCAGGGGACCUUCGGGCCUUGCGCUAUCAGAUGAGCCUAGGUCGGAUUAGCUAGUUGGUGAGGUAAUGGCUCACCAAGGCGACGAUCCGUAACUGGUCUGAGAGGAUGAUCAGUCACACUGGAACUGAGACACGGUCCAGACUCCUACGGGAGGCAGCAGUGGGGAAUAUUGGACAAUGGGCGAAAGCCUGAUCCAGCCAUGCCGCGUGUGUGAAGAAGGUCUUCGGAUUGUAAAGCACUUUAAGUUGGGAGGAAGGGCAUUAACCUAAUACGUUGGUGUCUUGACGUUACCGACAGAAUAAGCACCGGCUAACUCUGUGCCAGCAGCCGCGGUAAUACAGAGGGUGCAAGCGUUAAUCGGAAUUACUGGGCGUAAAGCGCGCGUAGGUGGUUCGUUAAGUUGGAUGUGAAAUCCCCGGGCUCAACCUGGGAACUGCAUUCAAAACUGACGAGCUAGAGUAUGGUAGAGGGUGGUGGAAUUUCCUGUGUAGCGGUGAAAUGCGUAGAUAUAGGGAAGGAACACCAGUGGCGAAGGCGACCACCUGGACUGAUACUGACACUGAGGUGCG
Molecule: ribosomal RNA, 641 nt
Filed under: Pseudomonas sp.
Lineage: Bacteria; Pseudomonadati; Pseudomonadota; Gammaproteobacteria; Pseudomonadales; Pseudomonadaceae
Description: bacterial SSU rRNA
Rfam family: Bacterial small subunit ribosomal RNA
Source: RNAcentral